RNAcentral lists this ribosomal RNA (301 nucleotides) under uncultured bacterium. Its description in RNAcentral is "partial 16S ribosomal RNA". It matches the Rfam family "Bacterial small subunit ribosomal RNA", at positions 509 to 807 of the family's 1533-position model. The record is from RNAcentral.
CAGUAGCCGCGGUAAUACGAAGGGGGCUAGCGCUGCUCGGAGUUACUGGGCGUAAAGCGCACGUAGGCGGAUAUUUAAGUCAGGGGUGAAAUCCCAGAGCUCAACUCUGGAACUGCCUUUGAUACUGGGUAUCUUGAGUAUGGAAGAGGUGAGUGGAACUCCGAGUGUAGAGGUGAAAUUCGUAGAUAUUCGGAGGAACACCAGUGGCGAAGGCGGCUCACUGGUCCAUUACUGACGCUGAGGUGCGAAAGCGUGGGGAGCAAACAGGAUUAGAUACCCGCGUAGUCCCUGUCUCUUAUAC